ACUUCGUCACCAUGGAGGAAGCAGAGAUAAAGACUCACAUUGGCACCAAGCACACAGGGGAAGACAGGAAGACCCCCAGCGAAUCAAAUAGCCCCUCUUCAUCCUCCCUCUCAGCUCUGAGUGAUUCAGCCAACAGCAAAGAUGAUUCAGAUGGCUCCCAGAAAAACAAGGGCGGGAACAAUCUGCUGGUCAUCUCUGUCAUGCCUGGGAGCCAGCCCUCACUGAACAGUGAGGAAAAGCCAGAGAAAGGGUUCGAAUGUGUUUUUUGCAACUUUGUCUGCAAGACGAAGAACAUGUUUGAGCGUCAUCUGCAGAUACACCUCAUCACCCGGAUGUUUGAGUGUGAUGUGUGCCACAAGUUCAUGAAGACCCCCGAACAGCUGCUGGAGCAUAAGAAAUGCCACACUGUCCCCACCGGUGGGCUCAAGUAAGGAAAGCAAGUACAGAACCUUUUACUGCGUUGUUAUUAAAUACCCUUUCCCCUUCCCUACCCCGUCCCUUCCCGUGAAGGUUUUGGGAGUCAUGGAGAAGGGGAGCUUGGUAUGAGGGGAGUUAGUCAGGAACCCCUGCUGCCUUUAGCUGGAUUGAAUUAGACCUGUCCCCCUAGGGUGUCAACAGAUGUCAGUAGGAGAAUCCAUUUUGCAAAUAUCCCGGGAUUCAGGGCAAGAAAAAAGACACGUUGAAACAACCCAGCAUUCAAGAAUAGACUACACUGCUUGAGUUUUC
RNAcentral lists this small RNA (726 nucleotides) under Pan troglodytes (chimpanzee). Its description in RNAcentral is "retained intron". The record is from RNAcentral. Lineage: Eukaryota; Metazoa; Chordata; Mammalia; Primates; Hominidae.